UCCGUAGGCGGGUUUAUAAGUCAGUGGUGAAAGUUUGCGGCUCAACCGUAAAAUUGCCAUUGAUACUGUAGACCUUGAAUUAGUGUGAAGUGGUUAGAAUGUGUAGUGUAGCGGUGAAAUGCAUAGAUAUUACACAGAAUACCAAUUGCGAAGGCAGAUCACUAACACUAUAUUGACGCUGAGGGACGAAAGCGUGGGGAGCGAACAGGAUUAGAUACCCUGGUAGUC
Molecule: ribosomal RNA, 228 nt
Filed under: uncultured bacterium
Lineage: Bacteria
Description: partial 16S ribosomal RNA
Rfam family: Bacterial small subunit ribosomal RNA
Source: RNAcentral